CCUACAAAAAAAGUCUUCCUGCUCUCGCCCCCAUUCUUGAUGUGCAGGCCAGGUCUAAACUGGAAAGCAGUCACUGAAUCAGGUUCUCGGUAUUUUUCACUCCUGGUGCUGCUGUUCGUUGUUUGGUGUCAUCUGGAUUUUUGUGUCUGUGAGGCCAGGGGCAGGGCACACUCUCAGGGCCACGGGUAGGUGUCCCUCUCAGCUGUGCCUUCAUGGGGUGGGGAAGGGGACAAGUCUCCCCUGGGGCCACAGUUAGCCCUGACAUGGCCUUGUUUGUUAGUGCCACGAGCUGCUGUGACCUUACUUCUCUCCAACAAACGCCUACCUCAACUGAACCUGUGGACGGGGUUUUGUACUUUUAGAUGCCCUAGGAAGAAGAUUUUGAGAAGGCAGGCCUUAGCAGUGCACUGUUUCAGCUACGUCUGCAUAGGUGUCUUGGGCCCUUGAGUGCGGCCAUCCCUGUGGUCCCCUCCUGUUCUUGUUUGCUUGAGGGUGGGGGGCGUCUGCUCAGCUGUAUUCUCUGCUCAAGUCUCUGUGCUGAAUGGAAAUCCAGGACUUCCAUGCUUCCUCUGGGCUGGGGCUGCCUGGAGGUUUCUAGGUCGGGAGCGCUAGUGCAGUGGGGACUUUGGAGAUGUGCCAUGCAAGGCAGUUGGCUUAGGGCUGAGUAACAGGACUUGUGAAGGAUGUGACGCCUGUCCCAUGUGCAGGGGCUCUGCUCCGUUUGGUUUCCACCAGUUAGGCUUAGGGUUUUCCUUCAGCAAAUAUAGCUCAGAAUUCACUGAGCAGCUAAUUCCUCUGCAAAGCUGGAACCUGGGCACAGACUGUGGCGGAGGCCCAGGGAUGCUGACUGCGUGUAGUCUACUUUUCUGGACGGGGUUGUGUGUUCCUCUAAGAAGGAAGUUAUAGCCCCUGAUGGGUCCUGGAAAUUCUAGCUGAGGACUGAGAGGGGCAUCUGGUUUCCUAAAAUAGGCUUUGCCAUGGCAGAUCCCAGGCCCUGGCUUGUCUUUAGAAAUGGACCUGAUCUAAUAAGUUAGGUUGGGCUUGGGGUCCAGACCUUCAGAACCUUCCCAAAGCCUCUACCCUCUUGUCUGGACAUAUUGCCAAGACAGUAUAAUUGCCAGGACAUAUUGGUAAGUGCACGCCCCAGGGCAGUCAGCCCUGGACACAGGCCACAUGUCAGAGGUUGUGGGAGCCCUCACAGAGCCCUUGCUUACCACCUGGUAGUGGACUUGCCCCUGCCAAGAGACUCUGGUCUGCUUGUCAGUGGGGACACACCCUGACCAGAGUCUGUGAUCUGCACCAGCACCACCCACUGAGCCAUGACUGAGUUCCCGUCAUGGCUCAGCAGUAUGGAACCCAACCUGUAUCCAUGAUGAUGUGGAUUUGAUCCCUGGCUCCACUCAUGGGUUAAGGAUCCGGCAUUGCUGUGAGCUGUGGUGUAGGUCACAGAUGCCGCUCGGAUCCAGUGUUGCUGUGGCAGUAGUGUAGGCUGGCAGCUACAGCUCUGAUUUGACGCCUAGCCUGGGAACCUCCAUGUGCCGCAGGUACAGCCCUAAAAAGACAAAAAAAAAAAAAAAAGUGUAAAAUCUGAGUUUUGAUGACUGCAUGAUAUUCUGUGGUGAUAUUCUGCACCAUGACAUGGGUAUCUGACCUCCUGGCUGGAAAAGUUUAUUGCUCCUAAUUUUUCACUAUUUUGAAUGAUCCUGGGGUGGGCCAUCUUAUGAAUCUUAUGUGCUUUUCUUUUUUUUUUUUUUUUGCCUUAGAAUAGGUUUGUAAUUGUGGAAUUACUGGCCUGAAGAAUAAAACCCUUUUGAAGCCCGUGGUACACUCUGUUUCAGGAGGCUUCUUUCCAUGUUAGUCCCUCCUUGGAGAGGAGCGCCUGGUCCCUGUAGCCCCACCUGCAUCAGGACCACUAUUGACAUAUCGACCGUGCCACCUCCGAGCAACUCUGUGCUUCACACUUCAGGGGCUGGCACGUUGAGAGGAGGUUCUGACUGUCCCCCUCCCCUCUGGGAUCAAAAGGGGCCACUUCUUCUCCCCCCACCCCUUCCCCAUGUGGAAGCACCAGGGCCAGGGGUAGAACCUGCACCACAGCAGCCACCCAGGCUGCUGCAAUGACAACACCAGAUCUUUAACCCACUACACCAUGGGGGAACUCCCCCCUUCUUUUUUUUUUUUUUGCUUUUUAGGGCUGCAGGUGCGGCAUAUGGAAGUUCCCAGGCUAGGGGUUGAAUUGGAGCUACAGCGGCCGGCCUACCCCACAGCCACACCAAUGCCAGAACUGAACCCCAUCUUCAACCUGCACCACAGCUUGAGGCAACGCCAGAGCCUUAACUCACUGAGUGGGGCUGGGGAUCGAAUCUGCAUCCUCAUGGAUACUAGUCGGGUUCAUUUCCACUGAGCCACAACGGGAACUGCCCACUUCCUUUUUUUUGAGGCUCCUCCCCUAGCUUAAAAAAAUGUCAAAACAGGGUUACAGAAGUUGUGGUUUACGUAAAAUCAACAUUCUUGACAACACGAUAGGGAAAAAAAAAAAAAAAA
RNAcentral lists this long non-coding RNA (2541 nucleotides) under Sus scrofa (pig). RNAcentral describes it as "lncRNA (ENSSSCG00015068497.1)". The record is from RNAcentral. Lineage: Eukaryota; Metazoa; Chordata; Mammalia; Artiodactyla; Suidae.